Molecule: long non-coding RNA, 532 nt
Filed under: Gossypium barbadense (sea-island cotton)
Lineage: Eukaryota; Viridiplantae; Streptophyta; Magnoliopsida; Malvales; Malvaceae
Description: long non-coding RNA (GBAR_LNC014571)
Source: RNAcentral
AUUACUAGUGAUAUGAUUUGAAUUAAAAGAAUUAAUGUGGUAUUGAAACGCAUAUUGGAUUGAGAAAUUGAUUUGAAUUGUGAAUAUGAGAAAUUGUGAAUUGCAUGAAAUUGAAAUGAAGUAUGAAUAUGUAUGAGCAUUUGAUGGUAUACUGAUUAGAAAGUGAAAAAUGUAUUGAAUCAAAUUGUGAUUAAAUUGGAAUGAUUUGAAUUGAAAGUAUGAGAAAGUGAUUGAAUUGAAAUGUGAUUAGGAAACCCUAUUAACUAGUCGGGCUGAAUCGGAUAUAAUUGGCAUGUCAUAGGAUUGGAAGAGUUCAGGGAAACUUCAACCUCGAGUCGAUGAGACACUGGGUGUCACUAUAUUUCUUCGGAUAGAUUCGAUGAGGUACUGGAUACCAACUUUCUUCGGCUUUGCCGAUGAGACACUAGGUGUCAACUAUUGCUUCGAACUAUCCGAUGAGGCACUGCGUGCCAUUCUGGUGUGUUUGGUUGGAUCCGUGUAUCUGCCAAAGUCCGAGUCAAGUUAAUAUGGG